AUACGGAGGAUGCGAGCGUUAUCCGGAUUUAUUGGGUUUAAAGGGUGCGUAGGCGGGCUGAUAAGUCAGUGGUGAAAGUUUGCAGCUUAACUGUAAAAUUGCCAUUGAAACUGUUAGUCUUGAGUGCAAAUGAGGUAGGCGGAAUGUGUUGUGUAGCGGUGAAAUGCUUAGAUAUAACACAGAACACCAAUUGCGAAGGCAGCUUACUGGGAUACAACUGACGCUGAGGCACGAAAGCGUGGGGAUC
This 247-nucleotide ribosomal RNA is filed under the name uncultured bacterium. Its description in RNAcentral is "partial 16S ribosomal RNA". It matches the Rfam family "Bacterial small subunit ribosomal RNA", at positions 523 to 769 of the family's 1533-position model. The record is from RNAcentral.